This 253-nucleotide ribosomal RNA is filed under the name uncultured bacterium. RNAcentral describes it as "partial 16S ribosomal RNA". It matches the Rfam family "Bacterial small subunit ribosomal RNA", at positions 524 to 776 of the family's 1533-position model. The record is from RNAcentral.
UACGUAGGGGGCAAGCGUUGUCCGGAUUUAUUGGGCGUAAAGAGCGUGUAGGCGGCCAGGUAGGUCUGCUGUGAAAACUCGAGGCUUAACCUCGAGCUGUCGGCGGAAACCAUCAGGCUAGAGUCCGGAAGAGGAGAAUGGAAUUCCCGGUGUAGCGGUGAAAUGCGCAGAUAUCGGGAAGAACACCCGUGGCGAAGGCGGUUCUCUGGGACGGUACUGACGCUGAGACGCGAAAGCGUGGGGAGCGAACAGG